Molecule: ribosomal RNA, 497 nt
Filed under: uncultured bacterium
Lineage: Bacteria
Description: partial 16S ribosomal RNA
Rfam family: Bacterial small subunit ribosomal RNA
Source: RNAcentral
GAUGAACGCUGGCGGCGUGCCUAAUACAUGCAAGUCGAGCGAACGGACGAGAAGCUUGCUUCUCUGAUGUUAGAGGCGGACGGGUGAGUAACACGUGGAUAACCUACCUAUAAGACUGGGAUAACUUCGGGAAACCGGAGCUAAUACCGGAUAAUAUUUUGAACCGCAUGGUUCAAAAGUGAAAGACGGUCUUGCUGUCACUUAUAGAUGGAUCCGCGCUGCAUUAGCUAGUUGGUAAGGUAACGGCUUACCAAGGCAACGAUGCAUAGCCGACCUGAGAGGGUGAUCGGCCACACUGGAACUGAGACACGGUCCAGACUCCUACGGGAGGCAGCAGUAGGGAAUCUUCCGCAAUGGGCGAAAGCCUGACGGAGCAACGCCGCGUGAGUGAUGAAGGUCUUCGGAUCGUAAAACUCUGUUAUUAGGGAAGAACAUAUGUGUAAGUAACUGUGCACAUCUUGACGGUACCUAAUCAGAAAGCCACGGCUAACUACGUG